UAAGGAGACAUGAUAAUACUGUAU
Molecule: non-coding RNA, 24 nt
Filed under: Cricetulus griseus (Chinese hamster)
Lineage: Eukaryota; Metazoa; Chordata; Mammalia; Rodentia; Cricetidae
Source: RNAcentral